GGAAAGGUGACUCAGUGGUUAAGAGCACUGACUGCUCUUCCAGAGGUCCUGAGUUCAAUUCCCAGCAACCA
This 71-nucleotide transfer RNA is filed under the name Mus musculus (house mouse). Its description in RNAcentral is "tRNA-Ser". The record is from RNAcentral. Lineage: Eukaryota; Metazoa; Chordata; Mammalia; Rodentia; Muridae.